GACGAACGCUGGCGGCGUGCUUAACACAUGCAAGUCGAACGGAAAGGCCCUGCUUUUGUGGGGUGCUCGAGUGGCGAACGGGUGAGUAACACGUGAGUAACCUGCCCUUGACUUUGUGAUAACUUCAGGAAACUGGGGCUAAUACCGGAUAGGAGCUCCUGCUGCAUGGUGGGGGUUGGAAAGUUUCGGCGGUUGGGGAUGGACUCGCGGCUUAUCAGCUUGUUGGUGGGGUAGUGGCUUACCAAGGCUUUGACGGGUAGCCGGCCUGAGAGGGUGACCGGCCACAUUGGGACUGAGGUACGGCCCAGCCUCCUACGGGAGGCAGCAGUGGGAAAUAUUGCACAAUGCGCGGAAGCAUGAUGCAGCAACGCCGCGUGCGGGAUGACGGCCUUCGGGUUGUAAACCGCUUUCGCCUGUGACGAAGCGUGAGUGACGGUAAUGGGUAAAGAAGCACCGGCUAACUACGUG
This 468-nucleotide ribosomal RNA is filed under the name uncultured bacterium. Its description in RNAcentral is "partial 16S ribosomal RNA". It matches the Rfam family "Bacterial small subunit ribosomal RNA", at positions 28 to 507 of the family's 1533-position model. The record is from RNAcentral.